This 253-nucleotide ribosomal RNA is filed under the name uncultured bacterium. Its description in RNAcentral is "partial 16S ribosomal RNA". It matches the Rfam family "Bacterial small subunit ribosomal RNA", at positions 524 to 776 of the family's 1533-position model. The record is from RNAcentral.
UACGUAGGGUGCUAGCGUUGUCCGGAAUUAUUGGGCGUAAAGAGCUCGUAGGCGGCCUGUUGCGUCCGCUGUGAAAGCCCGGGGCUUAACCCCGGGUCUGCAGUGGAUACGGGCAGGCUAGAGGUAGGUAGGGGAGAAUGGAAUUCCCGGUGUAGCGGUGAAAUGCGCAGAUAUCAGGAGGAACACCGGUGGCGAAGGCGGGUCUCUGGGCCAAAACUGACGCUGAGGAGCGAAAGCGUGGGGAGCGAACAGG